CAUAAGGCAGGUAUCCUGCACUGAAUCCGAUAGGUGCAGGAGGCGAACCAGGGGAACUGAAACAUCUAAGUACCUGAGGAAAAGAAAUCAACCGAGAUCCCUUAGUAGCGGCGAGCGAACGGGGACCAGCCCUUAAGCACAGUGAGUUCUAGUGGAAUGCUCUGGAAAGUGCAGCCGUAGAAAGUGAUAGCCUUGUACACGAAAGGGCUCAUUGUGUGAAAUCGAGUAGGACGGGACACGUGUUAUCCUGUCUGAAUAUGGGGGGACCAUCCUCCAAGGCUAAAUACUCCUCGUUGACCGAUAGUGAACCAGUACCGUGAGGGAAAGGCGAAAAGAACCGCGGUGAGCGGAGUGAAAUAGAUCCUGAAACCGUAUGCGUACAAGCAGUAGGAGCCCUUCGGGGUGACUGCGUACCUUUUUGUAUAAUGGGUCAGCGACUUACUGUCAGUGGCAAGCUUAACCGUAUAGGGGAG
RNAcentral lists this ribosomal RNA (473 nucleotides) under uncultured bacterium. RNAcentral's name for it is "bacterial LSU rRNA". It matches the Rfam family "Bacterial large subunit ribosomal RNA", at positions 138 to 665 of the family's 2925-position model. The record is from RNAcentral.